GACGAACGCUGGCGGCGUGCUUAACACAUGCAAGUCGAACGGAGCGAAUGAAAGCUUGCUUUUACGAGCUUAGUGGCAAACGGGUGAGUAACACGUAGACAACCUGCCGACAGGAUGGGGACAACAUUCCGAAAGGAAUGCUAAUACCGAAUGAAGCGGAGGAGAGGCAUCUCUCUUCCGUGAAAGAUGGCCUCUAUUUAUAAGCUAUCACCUGUCGAUGGGUCUGCGUCUGAUUAGCUGGUUGGUGAGGUAACGGCUCACCAAGGCGACGAUCAGUAGCCGGUCUGAGAGGAUGAACGGCCACAUUGGGACUGAGACACGGCCCAGACUCCUACGGGAGGCAGCAGUGGGGAAUCUUCCGCAAUGGGCGCAAGCCUGACGGAGCAACGCCGCGUGAGUGAAGAAGGUCUUCGGAUCGUAAAGCCCUGUUGACGGGGACGAACGUGCGAAGGGUGAAUAAUCCUUUGCAAUGACGGUACCUGUCGAGGAAGCCACGGCU
Molecule: ribosomal RNA, 499 nt
Filed under: Centipeda infelix
Lineage: Bacteria; Bacillati; Bacillota; Negativicutes; Selenomonadales; Selenomonadaceae
Description: bacterial SSU rRNA
Rfam family: Bacterial small subunit ribosomal RNA
Source: RNAcentral